CGCGAACGGCUCAUUAUAACAGCUAUAAUUUACUAGACCUUGAGCAACUACUUGGAUACCUGUGGUAAUUCUAGAGCUAAUACAUGCACCGAAGUUGUUCCUUGCGGAGCAAUGCAUUUAUUUGAGCAAAACCAGGCGGCUUCGGCCGUUUCUGUUGAUUCAGAAUAACUAAGCUGAUCGCAUGGGCUUGUCCCGGCGACGUGUCUUUCAAGUGUCUGCCUUAUCAACUUUCGAUGGUAGUGUACGUGACUACCAUGGUGUUGACGGGUAACGGAGGAUAAGGGUUCGACUCCGGAGAAGGGGCCUGAGAAAUGGCCACUACGUCUAAGGAUGGCAGCAGGCGCGCAAAUUACCCACUCUCGGUUCGAGGAGGUAGUGACGAAAAAUAACAAGGCCGUUCUCUUUGAGGCCGGCCAUUGGAAUGGGUACAACUUAAACCCUUUAACGAGUAUCAAUGAGAGGGCAAGUCUGGUGCCAGCAGCCGCGGUAAUUCCAGCU
This 498-nucleotide ribosomal RNA is filed under the name Paratylenchus projectus. RNAcentral's name for it is "SSU rRNA". It matches the Rfam family "Eukaryotic small subunit ribosomal RNA", at positions 88 to 590 of the family's 1831-position model. The record is from RNAcentral. Lineage: Eukaryota; Metazoa; Nematoda; Chromadorea; Rhabditida; Tylenchulidae.